Impatiens glandulifera is the source of this 454-nucleotide long non-coding RNA. RefSeq lists it as uncharacterized. Lineage: Eukaryota; Viridiplantae; Streptophyta; Magnoliopsida; Ericales; Balsaminaceae. The record is from RefSeq and is a predicted model, not a curated record. The transcript is spliced from 3 exons.
GCGGCGACGAUGAGCACCACGACGAGCACCACGACGAGCACGAGCAUCCCACUUGAUGAUGUCUUACUUUCCUCUUUAGAGAGAUGGAAAGCUUCAAGUGAGUGCUCUUCAAGCCUCGAUAAAUGGCAAAUAAUGAGGUGGAAUCGAACGCACUUCGUGGAGUAGAAUGGGAAGUUGUUUCACCUACAACAUCGGCUGCUGCUGCUGCUGCUGCUCCUAGUACACAUGCUAAAGACACAAAUGCAUUUUGGUCAUUAUUGGACAGCAAUGGCAGAAGGAAAUGUGGCAGGUUUUAUCAUUAAGAUGGUGAAGGGACAUCAAUAUUGCUAGUAAUUUAAAGGGUGGAACUAACUAUUGCACUUGUUAAUAUAAAUUGUAGUAAUUGGUUGUGAAUUGUGAUACAAUUACUUUGAUCAUAUGCAAUGUUUCAAGUUAAAAGUUUUUUCUUUGCAUA